GAUGAACGCUAGCGGGAGGCCUAACACAUGCAAGCCGAGCGGUAGAGUCUCUUCGGAGACUUGAGAGCGGCGCACGGGUGCGGAACACGUGUGCAACCUGCCUUUAUCUGGGGGAUAGCCUUUCGAAGGGAAGAUUAAUACCCCAUAAUAUACUGGAUGGCAUCAUCUGGUAUUGAAAACUCCGGUGGAUAGAGAUGGGCACGCGCAAGAUUAGAUAGUUGGUGAGGUAACGGCUCACCAAGUCAGCGAUCUUUAGGGGGCCUGAGAGGGUGAUCCCCCACACUGGUACUGAGACACGGACCAGACUCCUACGGGAGGCAGCAGUGAGGAAUAUUGGACAAUGGGUGGGAGCCUGAUCCAGCCAUCCCGCGUGAAGGACGACGGCCCUAUGGGUUGUAAACUUCUUUUGUAUAGGGAUAAACCUAGAUACGUGUAUCUAGCUGAAGGUACUAUACGAAUAAGCACCGGCUAACUCCGUG
This 479-nucleotide ribosomal RNA is filed under the name uncultured bacterium. Its description in RNAcentral is "partial 16S ribosomal RNA". It matches the Rfam family "Bacterial small subunit ribosomal RNA", at positions 28 to 507 of the family's 1533-position model. The record is from RNAcentral.